AUCGAUGAUUUUUACUGGAGUUCAGUUGGAAUAUUUUGUCACUUGUUCGGGGUGAAUGUGGAAGAACUCUAUCACGAGGUCCGAUAAAAGUUACGGAAGAUCUUUAUUCUUCCUUGCGAACUAAGGACCUUCGGUGUAAUUUUUACGGAAUAUUACUCACCGUGUGGUAGAUAGUGAGGACUUUUGAAGGCGGUAUUGUAUUCAGAAAUGAUGAUGAAGACUUUGAUCAACUUUUCUUGUCCUUCUCUGGCUUUUAAACCAUCGGCCCUCGUUCCAACGACGACAAUAGGUUGAAUAUUCUCCGGAAAAACCUUCGCACUUGAGGAAAUACAGGAGUUCAUUUCUACUUCAGUCACAGGAUAAAAUCUAAAUCCGCUAGGCGAUAAUGGAGCAUCGGUUGUCGGUCAACUUUUGAGUAACUGCGGGUUCUAUUAUCCCACGGGCUUAGUGAUAACAAGCCAUGGAAGGUUGGGUGAUUAUGCUGUGAAAGCAUGAAUGCCGGGUGAAAAAAUGAAGAGGAAAAUGGUGAGAUGAAACUUUUUGAAGAGGAAAUCCCGCUGUAAAGAUAUUUUUAAUUCGUUAGCAGUAGUGAUUCGUUGUUAAAGCUUUGGGUUUCCUAAAAUUUCUCACGAUUAUUUUAAGAUAAAUUACAUGGUAAGUAAUUUUGGAUAAAAAUUAGACCUUCAAAGGACGAAACAUCGGACGAAGGCUUGUUUUAUCGCUAAAAAUAGACUCCGAAGUCUUAUCCGAUAGAAUUUGACUUAAAAAGAGCUUUCAAUGUCAUUUAGUCCGACGUUUCACCUUCUGGAGGUCUAAUAUUUUCUAUAAUUUCCCACGAAGCUGUUUACACCUGCUUAUUUUCUAAAAUCCAAAUGAUGGAUUAAAAAAAUUUCUACUUUUAAAAAUUACUAUUUUUUUGUUCUUGGAAAUGAAUUAAAAAAAAUUUUAAUAUUGUGGUACGCAACAGCUUAUUUGUAAAAAGCUGUUGCACUUGUUUAAUUAGGUCUGGAUGGAAUAACCAAGAGCUUGUAAUUCUUUCUUCAUUAUGUCGACUGCUUCCUGGGUGAGUUCCUGAAUUGGGGAACGAACUGGACCGGGAUUGAUUGGCGUCAGAAGAGUCAUUGCUGUUUUCAUGGUGACGACCCAAUUACCUGAGAAAGUACAAACGAAGGAAUGAGAGAAUUUAAUUCCCUAAUGAAUUAUACCUUCGUUGUAAUGCUCGCGGGGAGAAAAUGUUCAAUAAAUAUUACAUUGAAGUUCUGUAGUUCCCACGUGAAAACAAAGGUCCUAUAAAAUUCAGGGAAACCCGGAUAAAAAUUACGAAACGCUUCGUAAAUAAUUUGGCAUAAUUUUUAGAAGAAAUUACCAUGUUUCAUUAUCGCAGUGACUGCUUUAUUCAAUUUUUCUUGAGCUUCUCUGGCUUUCAACCCAUCACCGGCCAUCCCAGCAGCCAAAAUUUGUAACGCUUUCUCAGGGAAUAUGUUGACGCUCGUUGGAAUGAAAGAAUCGAGCCCCACAGCACAUCCAGCUGACAUUAUCUAUUCAUACAAAUUUAAAUGUUUUGAUUCAAUUUUUUUCGUCAGACAGUUCAUCGAUUUCCCUCACCGGAUAAAUUCAUUGAAGUAGUUGCAAUUGGUUCGAUUCUUCACCUGAUCACUUCCCAAGAAGACAACAAAUCUUCCUCCAUCAGCGUGUAAAGCCUGAGUUGCCUCGGCAAGAUUAGUGCUUGUAAAUUUAAUACC
Diachasmimorpha longicaudata is the source of this 1742-nucleotide long non-coding RNA. RefSeq lists it as uncharacterized. The transcript has 3 exons. NCBI's taxonomy places the organism in Eukaryota, Metazoa, Arthropoda, Insecta, Hymenoptera, Braconidae. The record is from RefSeq and is a predicted model, not a curated record.